RNAcentral lists this ribosomal RNA (429 nucleotides) under Gemmatimonadota bacterium. RNAcentral describes it as "Gemmatimonadetes bacterium partial 16S ribosomal RNA". It matches the Rfam family "Bacterial small subunit ribosomal RNA", at positions 355 to 776 of the family's 1533-position model. Lineage: Bacteria; Pseudomonadati; Gemmatimonadota. The record is from RNAcentral.
UAGGGAAUCUUCGGCAAUGGACGAAAGUCUGACCGAGCAACGCCGCGUGAGUGAAGAAGGGUUUCGGAUCGUAAAACUCUGUUGUUAGAGAAGAACAAGGACGUUAGUAACUGAACGUCCCCUGACGGUAUCUAACCAGAAAGCCACGGCUAACUACGUGCCAGCAGCCGCGGUAAUACGUAGGUGGCAAGCGUUGUCCGGAUUUAUUGGGCGUAAAGCGAGCGCAGGCGGUUUCUUAAGUCUGAUGUGAAAGCCCCCGGCUCAACCGGGGAGGGUCAUUGGAAACUGGGAGACUGGAGUGCAGAAGAGGAGAGUGGAAUUCCAUGUGUAGCGGUGAAAGGCGUAGAUAUAUGGAGGAACACCAGUGGCGAAGGCGGCUCUCUGGUCUGUAACUGACGCUGAGGCUCGAAAGCGUGGGGAGCAAACAGG